RNAcentral lists this ribosomal RNA (164 nucleotides) under Ilex macropoda. RNAcentral describes it as "5.8S ribosomal RNA". It matches the Rfam family "5.8S ribosomal RNA". From Rfam's summary of the family: 5.8S ribosomal RNA (5.8S rRNA) is a component of the large subunit of the eukaryotic ribosome. It is transcribed by RNA polymerase I as part of the 45S precursor that also contains 18S and 28S rRNA. Functionally, it is thought that 5.8S rRNA may be involved in ribosome translocation. Lineage: Eukaryota; Viridiplantae; Streptophyta; Magnoliopsida; Aquifoliales; Aquifoliaceae. The record is from RNAcentral.
AAAACGACUCUCGGCAACGGAUAUCUCGGCUCUCGCAUCGAUGAAGAACGUAGCGAAAUGCGAUACUUGGUGUGAAUUGCAGAAUCCCGUGAACCAUCGAGUUUUUGAACGCAAGUUGCGCCCAAAGCCAUUAGGCUAAAGGCACGUCUGCCUGGGCGUCACGC